Molecule: ribosomal RNA, 961 nt
Filed under: uncultured bacterium
Lineage: Bacteria
Description: bacterial SSU rRNA
Rfam family: Bacterial small subunit ribosomal RNA
Source: RNAcentral
AGCAGCCGCGGUAAGACGAAGGAUCCAAGCGUUGUCCGGAUUUACUGGGUUUAAAGGAUGCGUAGGCGGACACUUAAGCCAGUGGUGAAAUCCCAUAGCUCAACUAUGGAACUGCCAUUGGAACUGUGUGUCUUGAAUUCGGUUGAGGUAGAUGGAAUAUAACAUGUAGCGGUGAAAUGCUUAGAUAUGUUAUAGAACACCGAUUGCGAAGGCAGUCUACUAAGCCGACAUUGACGCUGAGGCAUGAAAGCGUGGGGAGCGAACAGGAUUAGAUACCCUGGUAGUCCACGCCCUAAACGUUGAUUACUCGCUGUUAGCGAUAUACUGUUAGCGGCUAAGCGAAAGCGUUAAGUAAUCCACCUGGGAAGUACGACCGCAAGGUUGAAACUCAAAGGAAUUGACGGGGGCCCGCACAAGCGGAGGAGCAUGUGGUUUAAUUCGAUGAUACGCGAGGAACCUUACCUGGGCUUAAAUGUUAGAUGCCAUUCUGCGAAAGCGGAAGUUUCUUCGGAACAUCUAGCAAGGUGCUGCAUGGCUGUCGUCAGCUCGUGCCGUGAGGUGUUGGGUUAAGUCCCGCAACGAGCGCAACCCCUAUCAUUAGUUGCCAUCAGGUUAAGCUGGGGACUCUAAUGAAACUGCCUACGCAAGUAGAGAGGAAGGCGGGGACGACGUCAAGUCAUCAUGGCCCUUACGCCCAGGGCUACACACGUGCUACAAUGGUAGGUACAAUGAGAAGCUACUUGGUAACAAGACGCAAACCUCAAAAAGCCUAUCUCAGUUCGGAUUGAGGUCUGCAACUCGACCUCAUGAAGUUGGAUUCGCUAGUAAUCGUAUAUCAGCAAUGAUACGGUGAAUACGUUCCCGGGCCUUGUACACACCGCCCGUCAAGCCAUGGAAGCUGGGAGAACCUGAAGUCGAUAACCGUAAGGAGUCGCCUAGGGUUAUACUAGUAACUGGGGCU